AGAAAACUAUAUUUUCUUUAUGACUAACAAGACACUGCUAUUGAAAACUUCACACUGGAAUACACGUCAAAGUCAACCUGGCCGAUGCUGCUAACUUUUCCUGUUCCGCAACGAAACACCUAUACCUAAUGACCAGUGAGCACACAAACCCAAACAGGAUGAACCCCGGUAAGAGGUUGGCCCUAAACUCCAGCAGGCAUAUUUACCCACAAUGCACGGGGAUAUGAUAACAAUAUGGCGUUUGGAUAACCAAACAAAUUCGAUCAGGUGGAAACUGCACUUUUCAAAACCCAAUCCAGCUGUUCUGUCUACCUUUUUGCCAGCUGACAACAGAUAAUUAGUCUGUACCAACCCCUCCCCAGUGGACAAGGAAGGCAAGGUGCUGGACGGAUUUGUUUGUAGGCAGAUAUUGUAAAUGCAAAGUCAUUCUGGACUACAUGAAAUUCAGGCCUUCCACAAAAAUGGCAAAUGGUUUCUCCUUUGCAGUUUGAUGUAUUUCCUGCAAAACCUUCAUCCUUCUUCUUUUGCUUAAGGAAAUCAGCCAUAAUCAAGGUUGAGCUGUAGAUAGCCAUUCCUUCAGUUAUUCAGCUGGACAGU
Protopterus annectens (West African lungfish) is the source of this 597-nucleotide long non-coding RNA. RefSeq lists it as uncharacterized. The transcript is spliced from 3 exons. Lineage: Eukaryota; Metazoa; Chordata; Ceratodontiformes; Protopteridae. The record is from RefSeq and is a predicted model, not a curated record.